This 254-nucleotide ribosomal RNA is filed under the name uncultured bacterium. RNAcentral's name for it is "partial 16S ribosomal RNA". It matches the Rfam family "Bacterial small subunit ribosomal RNA", at positions 524 to 776 of the family's 1533-position model. The record is from RNAcentral.
UACGUAGGGAGCAAGCGUUGUUCGGAUUUACUGGGCGGAAAGGGUGCGUAGGCGGCGCGGUAAGUCACUUGUGAAAUCUCUGAGCUUAACUCAGAACGGCCAAGUGAUACUGCAGUGCUAGAGUGCAGAAAGGGCAAUCGGAAUUCUUGGUGUAGCGGUGAAAUGCGUAGAUAUCAAGAGGAACACCUGAGGCGAAGGCGGGUUGCUAGGCUGACACUGACGCUGAGUGCGCGAAAGCCAGGGGAGCAAACGGG